Molecule: long non-coding RNA, 2048 nt
Organism: Polyodon spathula (Mississippi paddlefish)
Lineage: Eukaryota; Metazoa; Chordata; Actinopteri; Acipenseriformes; Polyodontidae
Exons: 2
Source: RefSeq, a predicted model, not a curated record
AUCUAUCUAUCUAUCUAUCUAUCUAUCUAUCUAUCUAUCUAUCUAUCUAUCUAUCUAUCUAUUAAAUGUCCCAAGCCAAAUUUCAGAAAAGGUCACUUAUCUACAUAUAUUGAAAGCUAAGGAUAAUAAUUUUUAAUUAUGUUCUUGGGUUGUUUUUUUCACUUCAAGCUGCUUGAUUUCAGUCAGAGUUUAAAAAGAGUUUCAAGGCUCUAAAGGUCUGUUAGCUGAGGAGGUCAUCUAGCAGUGAGAUACAAGCUGCACUAAUUAGAACACGAUUGAGAUAAUGCACAUGGUUUCUGAUAAUACACGGUUAGUAUUAUUGCAGGAACUGGAAUGAAUGAUAAAACAGGUGAACUCCAGUAUUGAGCCUCACUUUUUGUGACAGUGUCAGUUUCCCCACCAAAAAAUGUUUAAAAAGCUUUUAAGUCUGGUUUUGAAUGUAGCUAUUGAGUCAGCACUCCGGGUAUUGAAGGGCAAAGAUUUCUUUUUUAAUCAUCCAGACCAGCUGCUGUAAACCUGAAGCCCUAAAUGCUUUUGAUAAACCUCCCUUUUACUUCCAGUUAACCGCAUCAGCAGCAGCAGCGUUUUCCCUUUCACCCCCACGCAGACGACUGCAUCGAUUUCUGACACCGAGACGGGUUUGCAAAGGUUGUGUGGCGAGAGCUCUUUGAGAAACAACAGUGGAAACAUUAGCUCUUGCCAAAUUAAUAGUCUGCACAUGUGCGAGUGGGCACCGAUUCAAGGCAUGCAUUUUUAAUGGACUGCACUUGCUGUUCACGCCGCUGACGUGUUAGAAGCAGAUGUCUGAGCCUCUGCCUGGGAUAUGAGAAUUCCUGGCAGAGCUGGAGCGCCACUUAGGAGAAGAAGCAGCCAGGGCAGCAGAGUAUCAGUUCUGUCAAGCUCCUCCUUCACUAGGCAGGGUUGGAUACCUUCCACAGCACAGGCCAUAUGUAGCCUCCCAAAUGUAUCCACAUUGAUCACAAUUGAUGAAAAUAGGGGCAGCACAGUAAUAGAUCGUAGAUCACAUUUCCAUUCUUUGUGAUUGAUUAUCUAAAAAGAACAAAGUGCUUUUGCACCUAGCUUGGUGGUACGACAUGCAAUGUGGUUAUCAGCCUUGGCAGUAAUCAAUGCUGCAAUGGUUAUAGGGGUUUGGCAACUUGCAUACAAACCCCCCCUUCUAAAAAUGUAUGCCCGCAGAAACAUGACAAAGUAUACUAAAACAGAGUAAAGCAUAGGGAAGCAUUGUAAAUCCCAGAGAGGCCACACUAUAUAUAUAUACAUAGUUUUACAUGCAUGGAGGAAAAUGUUUUGCAUUGGGGUAUAAUGCACGUUUCAUCCAGGCACAGCUUGUCUUUUCAAUGCUACUCAAGCUAUUCUGUGACUAUCAUUGGCUCUAACUGCUGUUAUUUUGUUGUCAGUAGAGAUCUUUUGGAAAAGAAGACAAGAGGGUUCUUAGUGUGUGAAAUUACAGGAUGGGUUUGCUCUUCACUGCGGAGAGAUGACACCAGUUGCAUCUCAAUGAAGAAGGGAGAGGACAGAUUGGGACAGAGAAAGAGAGAAAUCUGAUGCAAUGGAGCGUUCUCUAGGCUUGCUCAGAGAAUGAAUCCUGGGACAGUUUGAAGCUACAGCUUCACACAGCAAUCAGUGGUGUAGUCCUAAAUCUUUCUACAAGUAUCUCCACAAAGUGUCCUUCUCCAUCUUGUCAGGAUGCUUUACUUUACCGUGUGUCAGUGGCUUUGUUUGUGUUUGUGUCAUAGUCGAUACACUGUUACUGCUGUGUUAGUCAGCAUAGGUAAAGUUAACCACUGUGAUUAAAUAAUAAUAGAUAAUAAGAAAAAUACAGGCAUAUCACAUUAAACUGUCAUUAUUAAAUUAUUUAUGUCUGUAGUGUACACUAGCUAAAUAUUUUUUACACGGAAAAUCUUUUAAUAAAGAUUCUGACAACAUUUUAAAAGUUUAAAUCAGUUUGUUAUAUUGUACACUUUUAUGGUAACACAUUUAAAUCAAUAAAGGCGAUCUCAGCCACAGACAGAGAUACAGUGUUCAAC